UAAGCUUUAAAAUAAAUUUUUAUAAAAAUAUUUAUUAAUAUAAAAAAAUGUAGAAUUAGAAUUAUUUAUCAUUAAUAGUAUGUUAUAAUUAAUUUUUAUAUAAAWAYVAUUUAUAUAUUUUUUAAAUUUUUUAUUAAACUUAUAUAUAAAAUUAUAUAUUAUAUUUAAUAAUGAUAAAAUUAGUAUAAUUUUUUGUAAAUUUAAUUUAUUUAAUAAAGGUUAAGUAAAGGAAUUCGGCAAAAAUUUUUUCGCCUGUUUAUUAAAAACAUGGCUUUUUGAUAAUAAUUUAAAGUCUGACCUGCCCAAUGAAAUUUGAAUGGCCGCGGUAUAUUGACUGUGCGAAGGUAGCAUAAUAAUUAGUUUUUUAAUUGGAAACUGGUAUGAAUGGUUGGACGAGAAAAAAGCUGUCUCUAUUUAAUUUAAUUAGAAUUUUAUCUUUAAGUAAAAAAGCUUAAAUAUAUUUAAAAGACGAGAAGACCCUAUAGAGUUUUAUAUAAUUAAUAUAUUAAAUUUUGAAGAAUUAAUAUUUUAUUGUUUUAAUUAUAUUUGGUUGGGGUGACUAAAAAAUUGAAUUAACUUUUUUUAUUAAUUAAACAUUAAUGUAUGAAUGUAUGAUCCAUUAUUUAUGAUUAAAAGAUUAAAUUACCUUAGGGAUAACAGCGUAAUUUUUUUUGAGAGUUCUUAUCGAAAAAAAAGAUUGCGACCUCGAUGUUGGAUUAAAAUUAACUUUUGGUGUAGAAGCUAAAAAUGUUAGGUCUGUUCGACCUUUAAAAUUUUACAUGAUCUGAGUUUAAACCGGUGUGAGCCAGGUUGGUUUCUAUCUUUAAAAAAUUUAAAAUAUUUUAGUACGAAAGGACCAAAUAUUUAUAAAAAUUAUUUUUAUUAAGAAUGUUAUUAA
RNAcentral lists this ribosomal RNA (898 nucleotides) under Anoplotrupes stercorosus. Its description in RNAcentral is "partial large subunit ribosomal RNA". Lineage: Eukaryota; Metazoa; Arthropoda; Insecta; Coleoptera; Geotrupidae. The record is from RNAcentral.